This 346-nucleotide ribosomal RNA is filed under the name uncultured microorganism. Its description in RNAcentral is "bacterial SSU rRNA". It matches the Rfam family "Archaeal small subunit ribosomal RNA", at positions 330 to 666 of the family's 1478-position model. The record is from RNAcentral.
GCGCAGCAGUCGAGAAUCCUCCGCAAUACACGAAAGUGUGACGGGGCCAUCCCGAGUGCCGUCCGCUGAGGACGGCUUUUCCCCAGUGUACAUAGCUGGGGGAAUAAGGAGAGGGCAAGCCUGGUGUCAGCCGCCGCGGUAAUACCAGCUCUCCGAGUGGUGGGGACGCUUAUUGGGCCUAAAGCAUCCGUAGCCGGCUGGGCAAGUCCUCCGUUAAAUCCAACGAUUCAAUCGUUGGGCUGCGGGGGAUACUGUCCAGCGUUGGGGGCGGGAGGACGGCCGGACGGUACGUUCCCCGGGGGUAGGGGUAGAAAAUCCUAUAACGUCCCGGGAGGACCACCAGUGG